RNAcentral lists this microRNA precursor (103 nucleotides) under Marmota monax (woodchuck). Lineage: Eukaryota; Metazoa; Chordata; Mammalia; Rodentia; Sciuridae. The record is from RNAcentral.
AGAGGGAUAGCUGGGUCAAAUGGUGGUUCUAUUCUCAGAUUUUCAAGGAAUCUCCAUACUGCUUUCCAUAUUGGUUGCACCAAUUUGCAGUCCCAUCAGCAAU